Long non-coding RNA from Sarcophilus harrisii (Tasmanian devil), 1192 nucleotides. RefSeq lists it as uncharacterized. Lineage: Eukaryota; Metazoa; Chordata; Mammalia; Dasyuromorphia; Dasyuridae. The record is from RefSeq and is a predicted model, not a curated record. The transcript has 3 exons.
UUUGAGAUUUCAGCUUGAUUUCCUCUUAAAGAAGAAGGAAGUCUAUGUGGUUCAGUAAACUAAAUCAAAGGUCUGGAACUCAGGAUGUAAUUUCCUUCUUUUGUUAUGGUAACUGUGCCAACAUAGCUGUAUGACAUCAUUUUGAAUUCCAACCCUCCAGUUUCCUUCUAACAUCUUACCUUCCAAAGGAGAAUCCUGCUAUAUUAGGCCACAUGAGGGAUUUAUGAUUCCAGGUUCUACAUUUUUGGAAGGACACUGAAACUCUUGAGAGUUUCAGAAAACAACAAAGAUGGCAAUGGUACUGGAGGCAAUGCUACAUGAAAAUCAGUUGAAAGAAAUGGGAAUAUCUACUGUCAAGAUCUGAAGAGAGAUGUAUUCCUGCCCUUCGGACACUUGAAGCCAACAAUGAUGUCUUCGAAGGAUCAUUCUUAUGAAUGGAUGAUUUGUUUCUGAAUGACUUUGACAAUUGCCUCGACUCCCCAUUUCAUUUGGCUUGGGAAACUAUAGCUAAAAUGCAGAAGAAUAAAGUUGAAAAAUGAAAUCCUCCAACCAAAUAUUCUCUCAGUGAGAUAUUAGCUUCAAAUACAUUUGAUUGUAGUUCCUUUUCUGAUGAAAGAAUUUGAGAGAGGUUUACUAAAAUCCUAAACAUUAAAGGAUUCUUUAUUUCAGUGUGGAAAUUUUUAAACAUUGAAUAAUAACUGCUCACUUUUAAAUCAAAUAAACAAAUUCAGAAUAUUCUACUAGAGUCUCACCUUUGUUUCAGCACCCUUUGGUCAACUAGUCCAACAUCAAGAUUUUCAUUUGUAUGAAAAGGUGACUCCAACUGGUUGCUGCUGAUGGAAUUAAAAAAGUCCUCAUCAGUGCUAGUAAGAAAGAGUUAUAUUCAUAGACAGAAUAACAUAAGUAAUAAUGUUUAGCAGAUUAAGAAAUAGCUACUGAAAGACUGGCUUCAUCCAAGGCCACAUUAGUGGAACUUUAUUUGCUGACUUAUUAUUGUGGCUUGGCUAUCUACCUGCAGAUGGCCAUGAUUGUCUUUCUUAGACAAUUAAUAAAGGCAACUAUCCAGUAUCAUGUUUUUUGUUACCUAACUGAUCAAAAAAAAUCACCACAGCUAUUUCAAUAAUCUGCAUGCCCCCAGAAUAUCAACAGGGUCUUCAAUGUUCAAUAGGUGAAUAAUCACUCACUCACUCAA